This is a long non-coding RNA of Gallus gallus (chicken), 656 nucleotides long. RefSeq lists it as uncharacterized. The record is from RefSeq and is a predicted model, not a curated record. Lineage: Eukaryota; Metazoa; Chordata; Aves; Galliformes; Phasianidae. The transcript has 3 exons.
GAUAGCACUGGUGUGGACCUGUGAUGGUGAGGGGUUGGGCACAGUGGGGCUGACACUGCAAGGCAGUGCUGUGCUGGUGGCAGGAAGCACUGCUGGCCUGGCCCUGACAUGUGGGUACUUCUCCAUUUUCAGGGAAGCCUGUAUGUAGCUGCCCUGUGGAUGGCACACAGUCUCCAAACAGUGCUGUGCAAGUGAACUGCAGACACUCCUGAAGCGGUCUGCAUGGCACCUGUCACCAGAAGCCUCGCAGGAAAGAUCUUGUCAAACCAACUGCCAUACGCCAAGUAUUUGCAAGUAUUUUCCAAGACCACCUGUGACUGGAAUGACAGGAGCAUCCUUUGUGGGACUGUCGCUCACUCAUUCCUGAUGUGAUGAGUUUAGAUAUUGAUUCACCAGUAUCUGGAGUAGUCAGCAUUUCAGCCCUGAAGAAAUGUUCAAUCUUGCAAACAACUUUGUCCGGAGGAUGAACUGAUGUCAGAUGCAUUUAUGUUGACCAUAAAAGAACAGAGUAUGAGCUGCUCAAGUUAGGGGACAGCCAUGUAGCACCUCUUCCUCAUUAUACAUGAAGAUCCAGCCCUUGGAAAGAGAUGAGCACAAUCUGGAGCUGAGCAGCUCAGCCCUUCUGAUGGGCAGCAGAGGUCCCUUGCUCUUCUGUC